AUCCAGCUGACGAGUCCCACACAGGACGAAUUGGGCAUCCUGGAU
RNAcentral lists this non-coding RNA (45 nucleotides) under Trichobilharzia regenti. Lineage: Eukaryota; Metazoa; Platyhelminthes; Trematoda; Strigeidida; Schistosomatidae. The record is from RNAcentral.